AUCUCCAUGCCAACAGCAAUGGCCAGUAAACCUCUGCAGCCAAGUAACCAUCAGCCUGACUACCCAGUUGUUUCUAUUGGAUGUUUAUUUGUUGCUCUCAUAAUCAAAGCCUGAAGAAGAGCUGCGUAUCAUCUGAAAACCUGCUUCCACUGUUAAAGAAAACUAAUUGUCAGGGACUGGGCAGAGGAAGAAUGAUGACCCAGGAAGGAGGAAGAGGAAGACAGUAUAGAUUUACAACAGGGGUUUGAGCACCUCAGAGGCAGAUGAGGAGGAAAGUUGGGAAAUCAUGGGAAAGCCAGAACAACACCCAGCUGACACGUUGUCAUUAGAAAGCAUUCCAGAAGUGGGGUGGAGGUUCAUUCAGGACAAUGCUAUUAAUCAAGAGGCUGUGCUCUAUAGUCUCUCUCUGCAAAGACUGAAACAAAAAAAGGACGGUAAGAAACUUUUCCUUGUCUUUAUACUUUCCUGGGCAACCAGCCAGGAGCCCCUGACAGCAUCCUGACAGAUAGGUUCUCUCAUUGUCCAUUGUGAUGUUUUAACAAUACCUAUUGAUGCAAAAUGAGCACUGGCGGCCAAUAAUUGCAUGAACCACUUUUGUUUCCUCUGGCAGCAGUGGGUACAUCUGCAGCAACACAACAAGACACCUUCAUUGACCCCAGGUGCAACAAAACAUGUUCCUCCUCUAUUGGUCUCUACAGAACAGGUGGAAGGCUUGGUGGUUUAGACCAAGUGCUACCCGCAAAGUUACGUGGAACAUUAUCUGACCAAAUGGGUUUACAAAGCUUAUGCCACAAUAAAUCUGCUAUCAUUUUAGGUGCUCCAGGGCUCUCCAGAAACCCAUAAUGCUUGUGAAUGCCUUUGUCUUUUCCUGGCCAACCAGGUAUAUUCAUUUGUAACAGCCCGUUUGCAUUUUUCAUGCCUACCUACCUGUCUCUAGCGCUGGAUCUGCUUUAGGAAUUUUGUACAGCAACUUGGCAGUUUUGUAGAAGCUCUAUUCUUGCCUCUGCUUUCUACUUUCAAACAGAAGGAAGAACCUGUGCUUUACGCACUCUCGCUUAAUUUGUUCCUUGGAGAAUGUUCUUAGAGGUAACGCUGUCUUUUAUGGUGGCCUGUGCAAUAUCUUACACACAGCACGAGCUUGCUCAGAGUCCCUAGGACCUGCAAUAACCCCAAAAUAAGUCAAGAAUGUAAGACAGAACUGAAUAAUGCCAUUCUAAAUUUAAAGACAUUGUUGAAAUUUGAAUCAGUUUCGGGAGGGGAAAGAAGAGAGACCUCAAUGACAAUGUCCGAAAGGAACAAUUUAUCUUCACCACUGUAGAAAUUGCCUUUCACUCUCUUGCCCUUUGCCCAAAUAAUGUUAUUCCGAAGAGAGAUUUUAGAGGCUCCUAUUUAUAAACUCAUACCUACCAACUUGGAGGAAAAUUAUGUAAGUCCAGAAAAUGUCAGGGCCAAGUUGGGACAGCAUCUUGAAUCCAGAUCUGAAGGGUGUGCUAUUUAGAUCAGUGAACCUAUGACCCUCCAUAUCUUGGGUGGAAUUCAACUGGUGAAUAUUUCAACUGAGUGGAAUAUUUUGGGUGUCAUAGCAGGUAGAGUGUUGGACUAGGAGCUGGGAGAGCAGGGUUUGAAUCCCCACUCAGCUAUGAAGCUCACUGGGUGACCUUGGGCAAGUCAUCACCUCUCAGCCUACCCCACCUCACUGUCAGGGACUGGGCAGAGGAGGAAUGGUGGAGGACCGCCUCCCCAGCCUGACCCUUCCAGAGAAGAAGAAGGCAGUUCAGAAUUACAACAAGGGUUAGGGAGAUCACAGCUCAGAGGCAGAUGGGGGGGGGAGAUGGAAAAUAAUGGGAAGCACCAGAGAAGCAACAGCUGGUGGACACAGUGUCUUUAGAAAGCAUUACAGACCCCCUCUUCCAGAACCUGGUGGGCACUGAAAGUAGGCGAGCAGAGAGCUCAGAAGCAAAGGACACAUCUCAGCA
This 1976-nucleotide long non-coding RNA is filed under the name Podarcis lilfordi (Lilford's wall lizard). The record is from RNAcentral. Lineage: Eukaryota; Metazoa; Chordata; Lepidosauria; Squamata; Lacertidae.